ACGUCCGGUUUAAACCGGAAGUAGUGACAUCCUGAAUCUGUCAUGGCUGUAAAAAUGAAUGUUUUGGCGCUCCCAAUAUUAGUUUUACUAACGUCCGUGGUGCUGUUACACUUAUUCAUCUGUCCGUUCACCAAAGUGGAAGAAAGCUUCAACUUGCAAGCGGCCCACGACCUCCUGUAUCACACGUUUGACUUUGACAAGUACGACCACCAUGAGUUCCCCGGUGUGGUUCCACGAACGUUCAUCGGUCCCCUGCUCAUCAGCAUCCUUUGCUCCCCUGUUGUCUUUCUGUCCUCUCUGCUGGGCGUGCCCAAAUUCUCCACACAGCUCAUCGUCCGAGCCUCUCUGGGAGCAUGCGUGAUCGCUGCGCUGUGGCAUAUGCAGCGAGAGGUGAAGAGGCAGUUUGGCUCCACGGUGGCCCUCCUGUUCUGCCUGAUGUGCGCCUCUCAGUUUCACCUCAUGUUCUACAGCACCAGGACGCUCCCAAAUGUGUUUGCGCUACCAAUUGUCGUGGUUGCAUUCACCUCUUGGAUGGCUCACAAACACGGCAGCUUCAUCGGCCUCUCCGCCUUCGCCAUUAUUGUGUUCCGCUCGGAGCUCUGCAUCUUGCUGGGUCUUAUGUUGCUUAUAUCUCUGUUGAGCAGAAAGCUGCGCUUCCCGGAACUUCUUUACUACGCUGUUCCCGCUGGAUUGCUCUCAUUGGCUCUGACUGUGGCGAUUGACACGUUCUUUUGGAGGAAGCCUUUGUGGCCAGAAGGCCAGGUGUUUUGGUAUAACACCAUUCUCAACAAAAGUUCCAACUGGGGAACCUCACCCUUUCUCUGGUAUUUCUACUCGGCUUUGCCCCGCGGCCUGGGCUGCACUCUGCCGCUGGUCCCCGUCGGGCUGCUGGACCGGCGGAUGAGGAUCCUACUGCUACCACCAGUGGCCUUCAUCCUUGUCUACUCGCUGCUGCCGCACAAAGAGCUGCGCUUCAUCAUCUACACCUUCCCCGUGCUCACUCUCCUGGCCGCCCGAGGCUGCUCUUUUAUUUUAAGCAACUAUCACAAAUCGUGGAUGUAUAAACUGGGAUCGGCUGUUGUGGUGGGCCAGCUGGUGACGAACGCGGCGUACUCGGGAGUUUGCCUGUACGUUUCCCAUCACAAUUACCCAGGAGGCCGAGCGAUGCAGGAACUGCACAGGCUGUUGCCGCCCACGGCAGACGUCUUUGUUCACAUUGACACCUACGCUGCUGAAACAGGAGUGUCUCGCUUCUUAGAGCAAAAUCCACACUGGAGAUACGACAAACGAGAGGAUCUGGACCCCGCAAGUCCCGAAAUGGAAAUGUUCUCGCACCUCCUGAUGGAGGCAAACGCCACCAAGAUGGAGCUCCUGCGCGACACUCAUCGGCCCCUGGCCUUCGUACAAGGCUAUGACGGCAUCGCUCGCCACUUGUUUCGCUUGCCUCCGUUUAGCGUGAGGUUGGCAAGCAAAACUGUACUGAUGCAGAGGACCACGUUCAAGGAGUCUCAUUGAGGAGUCAGGUGACCAGCAUUCUCACUUCAUCUCCUUCAGGAGUUUACAUGAAAGAAAGAAGCACAAGCCGGGCUUUCGGUUCCUUUGGCUACUGAAACUGCGUCUGGUGCGGUCUUAAGGGAGCCGUUGAACGAAUCGUCACCCGCGCCGGACGCAUCUUCCUCCCUGUCCAUGGCGGCGGGCGGCCCAAAGCUUUCUGUCGUGUCGUCAGGUCUGCCUUGUCAGAUGGGAU
RNA transcript from Hippocampus comes (tiger tail seahorse), 1747 nucleotides. It is a transcript of the gene named ALG12 alpha-1,6-mannosyltransferase, with no coding region annotated. The record is from RefSeq and is a predicted model, not a curated record. The transcript is spliced from 11 exons. NCBI's taxonomy places the organism in Eukaryota, Metazoa, Chordata, Actinopteri, Syngnathiformes, Syngnathidae.